GACGAACGCUGGUGGCGUGCUUAACACAUGCAAGUCGAACGGAAAGGCCCUGCUUUUGUGGGGUGCUCGAGUGGCGAACGGGUGAGUAACACGUGAGUAACCUGCCCUUGACUUUGGGAUAACUUCAGGAAACUGGGGCUAAUACCGGAUAGGAGCUCCUGCUGCAUGGUGGGGGUUGGAAAGUUUCGGCGGUUGGGGAUGGACUCGCGGCUUAUCAGCUUGUUGGUGGGGUAGUGGCUUACCAAGGCUUUGACGGGUAGCCGGCCUGAGAGGGUGACCGGCCACAUUGGGACUGAGAUACGGCCCAGACUCCUACGGGAGGCAGCAGUGGGGAAUAUUGCACAAUGGGCGGAAGCCUGAUGCAGCAACGCCGCGUGCGGGAUGACGGCCUUCGGGUUGUAAACCGCUUUCGCCUGUGACGAAGCGUGAGUGACGGUAAUGGGUAAAGAAGCACCGGCUAACUACGUGCCAGCAGCCGCGGUGAUACGUAGGGUGCGAGCGUUGUCCGGAUUUAUUGGGCGUAAAGGGCUCGUAGGUGGUUGAUCGCGUCGGAAGUGUAAUCUUGGGGCUUAACCCUGAGCGUGCUUUCGAUACGGGUUGACUUGAGGAAGGUAGGGGAGAAUGGAAUUCCUGGUGGAGCGGUGGAAUGCGCAGAUAUCAGGAGGAACACCAGUGGCGAAGGCGGUUCUCUGGGCCUUUCCUGACGCUGAGGAGCGAAAGCGUGGGGAGCGAACAGGCUUAGAUACCCUGGUAGUCCACGCUGUAAACGGUGGGUACUAGGUGUGGGGUCCAUUCCACGGGUUCCGUGCCGUAGCUAACGCUUUAAGUACCCCGCCUGGGGAGUACGGCCGCAAGGCUAAAACUCAAAGGAAUUGACGGGGCCCCGCACAAGCGGCGGAGCAUGCGGAUUAAUUCGAUGCAACGCGUAGAACCUUACCUGGGUUUGACAUGGAUCGGGAGCGCUCAGAGAUGGGUGUGCCUCUUUUGGGGUCGGUUCACAGGUGGUGCAUGGCUGUCGUCAGCUCGUGUCGUGAGAUGUUGGGUUAAGUCCCGCAACGAGCGCAACCCUUGUUCACUGUUGCCAGCACGUUAUGGUGGGGACUCAGUGGAGACCGCCGGGGGUCAACUCGGAGGAAGGUGGGGAUGACGUCAAGUCAUCAUGCCCCUUAUGUCCAGGGCUUCACGCAUGCUACAAUGGCUGGUACAGAGAGUGGCGAGCCUGUGAGGGUGAGCGAAUCUCGGAAAGCCGGUCUCAGUUCGGAUUGGGGUCUGCAACUCGACCUCAUGAAGUCGGAGUCGCUAGUAAUCGCAGAUCAGCAACGCUGCGGUGAAUACGUUCCCGGG
RNAcentral lists this ribosomal RNA (1344 nucleotides) under uncultured bacterium. RNAcentral describes it as "16S ribosomal RNA". It matches the Rfam family "Bacterial small subunit ribosomal RNA", at positions 28 to 1378 of the family's 1533-position model. The record is from RNAcentral.